GAUGAACGCUGGCGGCGUGCCUAAUGCAUGCAAGUCGAGCGAACGGACGAGAAGCUUGCUUCUCUGAUGUUAGCGGCGGACGGGUGAGUAACACGUGGAUAACCUACCUAUAAGACUGGGAUAACUUCGGGAAACCGUAGCUAAUACCGGAUAAUAUUUUGAACCGCAUGGUUCAAAAGUGAAAGACGGUCUUGCUGUCACUUAUAGAUGGAUCCGCGCUGCAUUAGCUAGUUGGUAAGGUAACGGCUUACCAAGGCAACGAUGCAUAGCCGACCUGAGAGGGUGAUCGGCCACACUGGAACUGAGACACGGUCCAGACUCCUACGGGAGGCAGCAGUAGGGAAUCGUCCGCAAUGGGCGGAAGCCUGACGGAGCGACGCCGCGUGAGUGAUGAAGGGCUUCGGAUCGUAAAACUCUGUUAUUAGGGAAGAACAUAUGUGUAAGUAACUGUGCACAUCUUGACGGUACCUAAUCAGAAAGCCACGGCUAACUACGUG
RNAcentral lists this ribosomal RNA (497 nucleotides) under uncultured bacterium. RNAcentral describes it as "partial 16S ribosomal RNA". It matches the Rfam family "Bacterial small subunit ribosomal RNA", at positions 28 to 507 of the family's 1533-position model. The record is from RNAcentral.